Molecule: ribosomal RNA, 460 nt
Filed under: uncultured Treponema sp.
Lineage: Bacteria; Pseudomonadati; Spirochaetota; Spirochaetia; Treponematales; Treponemataceae
Description: partial 16S ribosomal RNA
Rfam family: Bacterial small subunit ribosomal RNA
Source: RNAcentral
ACGGGAGGCAGCAGUGGGGAAUAUUGGACAAUGGGGGAAACCCUGACGGAGCGACGCCGCGUGGACGAUGAAGGCCGGAAGGUUGUAAAGUCCUUUUAUGGCAGAGGAAUAAGCGGGGGAGUGGAAAGCCCUUGUGAUGACUGUAGGCCAUGAAUAAGCACCGGCUAAUUACGUGCCAGCAGCCGCGGUAACACGUAAGGUGCGAGCGUUGUUCGGAAUCAUUGGGCGUAAAGGGCAUGUAGGCGGUCUGUCAAGCCAGGCGUGAAAGCCAGGGGCUCAACCCCUGAACUGCGCUUGGAACUGGCGGACUGGAGUCGCUGAGGGGGAACCGGAAUUCCUGGUGUAGGGGUGAAAUCUGUAGAUAUCUGGAAGAAUACCAAUGGCGAAGGCAGCCUGCCAGCAGAUGACUGACGCUGAGGUGCGAAGGUGCGGGGAGCAAACAGGAUUAGAUACCCUGGUA